This 687-nucleotide ribosomal RNA is filed under the name uncultured Bacteroidales bacterium. RNAcentral's name for it is "bacterial SSU rRNA". It matches the Rfam family "Bacterial small subunit ribosomal RNA", at positions 62 to 738 of the family's 1533-position model. The record is from RNAcentral. Lineage: Bacteria; Pseudomonadati; Bacteroidota; Bacteroidia; Bacteroidales.
UCGAGGGGCAGCAUUUCAGUUUGCUUGCAAACUGGAGAUGGCGACCGGCGCACGGGUGAGUAACACGUAUCCAACCUGCCGAUAACUCGGGGAUAGCCUUUCGAAAGAAAGAUUAAUACCCGAUGGUAUAAUCAGACCGCAUGGUCUUGUUAUUAAAGAAUUUCGGUUAUCGAUGGGGAUGCGUUCCAUUAGGCAGUUGGUGAGGUAACGGCUCACCAAACCUUCGAUGGAUAGGGGUUCUGAGAGGAAGGUCCCCCACAUUGGAACUGAGACACGGUCCAAACUCCUACGGGAGGCAGCAGUGAGGAAUAUUGGUCAAUGGGCGCAGGCCUGAACCAGCCAAGUAGCGUGAAGGAUGACUGCCCUAUGGGUUGUAAACUUCUUUUAUAUGGGAAUAAAGUUUUCCACGUGUGGAAUUUUGUAUGUACCAUAUGAAUAAGGAUCGGCUAACUCCGUGCCAGCAGCCGCGGUAAUACGGAGGAUCCGAGCGUUAUCCGGAUUUAUUGGGUUUAGAGGGAGCGUAGGUGGACAGUUAAGUCAGUUGUGAAAGUUUGCGGCUCAACCGUAAAAUUGCAGUUGAUACUGGCUGUCUUGAGUACAGUAGAGGUGGGCGGAAUUCGUGGUGUAGCGGUGAAAUGCUUAGAUAUCACGAAGACUCCGAUUGCGAAGGCAGCUCACUGGACUGCA